This 74-nucleotide transfer RNA is filed under the name Candidatus Omnitrophota bacterium. RNAcentral's name for it is "Candidatus Omnitrophica bacterium (aquatic metagenome) tRNA-His". It matches the Rfam family "tRNA". From Rfam's summary of the family: Transfer RNA (tRNA) molecules are approximately 80 nucleotides in length. Their secondary structure includes four short double-helical elements and three loops (D, anti-codon, and T loops). Further hydrogen bonds mediate the characteristic L-shaped molecular structure. tRNAs have two regions of fundamental functional importance: the anti-codon, which is responsible for specific mRNA codon recognition, and the 3' end, to which the tRNAs corresponding amino acid is attached (by aminoacyl-tRNA synthetases). tRNAs cope with the degeneracy of the genetic code in two manners: having more than one tRNA (with a specific anti-codon) for a particular amino acid; and 'wobble' base-pairing, i.e. permitting non-standard base-pairing at the 3rd anti-codon position. The record is from RNAcentral. Lineage: Bacteria; Pseudomonadati; Candidatus Omnitrophota.
GUGGCUAUGGUGUAGUGGUAGCACGGAAGAUUGUGGUUCUUUUAGCACGGGUUCGAAUCCCGUUAGCCACCCCA